GAAUUGUGCAGCUUCCCAUACGGCCC
Molecule: non-coding RNA, 26 nt
Filed under: Homo sapiens (human)
Lineage: Eukaryota; Metazoa; Chordata; Mammalia; Primates; Hominidae
Source: RNAcentral